CAUUUGACUUCAACGAUUACAAAAUUAACUAUUCAGAUAAAAGAGAGUCAUCUCGGAGGGAAAUAUGUAAAAGCGAUACUCCACAAACCUCAAGGGCAAGAAGAGUUCCUCCAAAGGAAUAGUUAAUUCUCCCAAAGGAUACAAAAGGCAUUUAUGAAAUGGAUGACAAACAUUGUAAGGAAUCUACUUUCCUCCAAAUGAAUAUAAAUUCUAUUAAAAAAAAAAUCUCCAAAGAAUUUUGAAAGGAAAUGUUCUGCCCCUUUCCUCCUACCAGGAAUAUCUGCUGAAGCAGUAUGAAGGGGAGAUGUGAACACUGGAUUGUUUUAGCUCGUGCCAUUAAAGAAAGCAUGUACAUUAAGGCAGC
Molecule: long non-coding RNA, 364 nt
Filed under: Mus pahari (shrew mouse)
Lineage: Eukaryota; Metazoa; Chordata; Mammalia; Rodentia; Muridae
Description: lncRNA (MGP_PahariEiJ_G0006095.1)
Source: RNAcentral